RNAcentral lists this ribosomal RNA (2915 nucleotides) under Porticoccaceae bacterium. RNAcentral's name for it is "23S ribosomal RNA". It matches the Rfam family "Bacterial large subunit ribosomal RNA". Lineage: Bacteria; Pseudomonadati; Pseudomonadota; Gammaproteobacteria; Cellvibrionales; Porticoccaceae. The record is from RNAcentral.
AAAUGAAUAAGCGCAUACGGUGGAUGCCUUGGCAGUUAGAGGCGAUGAAGGACGUAGGACCCCUGGGUGAUGCUUCGGGGAGGUGGCAAGAAACCCUUUUGACCCGGGAGAUUUCCUUUUUGGGGAAAACCCCAUCUACGAUAAGGGUGAUAUUAGUGCUGAAUACAUAGGCGCAUAAAGCAAACCCCGGGAGAACUGAAACAUCUAAGUACCCGGGGGAAAAAAAGAAAUAAACCCGGGAGUUUCCCCUUUUUAGUAGCGGCGAGGAAAUGGGAUCAGCCUAAAAGUAAUAGCUUAAAAGUUAGAAGAACAGUCGGGAAAGUCUGGCAAUAAGGGUGGGGGGCCCCGACUCGAAAACUUUUUUUUGGUAUGCUUGGGGACAAGAGGUCGGGACACGUGUUAUCUUGACUGAAUAUGGGGACCAUCCUCCAAGGGCUAAAAAAUACUAACGACCGAUAGUGAACCAGUACCGUGGGGGAAAGGCGAAAAGAACCCCGGAGAGGGGAGGAAAAAAACCCUGAAACCGUAUGCGUAAAAAGGGGAGGAGGGGGACUUGUUCCGUGACUGCGCCUUUUUGUAUAAUGGGCCCCACGACUUAUUUUCAGUGGCGGUUAACCGUUUAGGUAGCCUUUGGGGGAAACCGGUCCAAUUUGGGGGCCUACCCGGGGAAAAGACCCGAAACCGGGCGAUCUAAACCAUGGAAGGUUGAAGGUUGAGUAACAUCAACUGGAGGACCGAACCCCCCAAGUUGGAAAAAAAUUUGGGGGUGAGCUGUGGGUCGGGGGAAAGGCUAAUCAAGCCCGGAGAUAAACUUGGUUCUCCUCGAAAGCUAUUUAAGGGAGUGCCUCAUGUAUCACCACUGGGGGUAGAGCACUGUUUCGGCUAGGGGGUCAUACCGACUUACCAACCCGAUGCAAAACCCCAAUACCAGUGAGUGCAAUCAUGGGAGACACACGGCGGGUGCUAACGUUCGUCGGGGGAGGGAAACAACCCAGACCGCCAGCUAAGGUCCCUAAUAUCAGUUAAGGGGAAACGAUGGGGGAAGGGGUCAGACAGCCAGGAAGUUGGCUUGAAACAGCCAUCUUUUUAAAAAGGCCCUAAUAGCUCACUAGUCGAGUCGGCCUGCGCGGAAGAUUUAACGGGGGUAAACUGAUAACCGAAGCUGGGACCAUUUUUUAUAUGCGUGGUAGAGGAGCGCCUUGGGAGGCUGUUGAAGGUGUACUGGGGAAGAUGCUGGAGGUAUCAGAAGGGGCGAAUGCUGACGUGAGUAACGAUAAAGCGGGUGAAAAAACCCCCCGCCGGAAGAUCAAGGUUUCCGUCCAACGCUAAUCGGGAAAGGGUUAGUCGGUACCUAAGGCGAGGCCGAAAAGGGGUAGUCGAGGAAAACAGGCUAAUAUUCCUGUACCGCUUUUAUACUGCGAUGGGGGGGCGGAAAGGGAGGUGAUCAGGCGUUGGUUGUCCCUGUUCAAGCUUGUAGGGAGAUUUCAGGGAAAUCCGGGAAAACGGGGUAUCCUGAGAAGUGAUGUCGAGCUCAAUUUUGCGGGGCCCAAGUCAUUGAUGCCAUGCUUCCAAGAAAAAACCCCUAAGUCAGGUGUAUAGCGACCGUCCCCUAAACCGACAAGGGAUCAGGUAGAGAAUACAAGGGGCUUGGGGAGAACUAUGGUGAAGGAACUAGGGGAAAAUGGUGCCGUAAUCCCCCGGGGGAAGGCACGCCAGUUUUUGGGGAUAGAAUUUACUUCUUGAGUUUAGAUUGGUCGCAGAGACCCAGGCCCCCGCGACUGUUUAUCUAAAACACAGCACUCUGCAAAAUCGUAAGAGGACGUAUAGGGGUGACGCCCGCCCCGGGGCCGGAAGGUUAAUUGAUGGGGGUUUGCUUCGGCGAAGCUCUUUUUCGAAGCCCUGGUAAACGGCGGCCGUAACUUUUAACGGGCCUGGGAGCGAAAUUCCUUUUUCGGGUGGGUUUCCCACCUGCACGAAUGGCGUAACGAUGGGGGCACUGUCUCCACCAUAGACUCAGUGAAAUCGAAAUCGCGGUGAAGAUGCCGCGUUCCCGCGGCUAGACGGAAAGACCCCGUGAACCUUUUUAUAGCUUGGCACUGAACUUUGAAUCUAUCUGUGUAGGAUAGGUGGGGUUUUAAGCAUAAACGCUAGAUUGUGUGGAGCCAUCCUUUAAAUACCACCCUGGAUGUUUGAGGUUCUAACUCUGGCCCAUUAUCUGGGUUGAGGACAGUGUCUGGUGGGUAGUUUGAUGGGGGGUCUCCCCCCCCCCAAAGAGUAACGGAGGAGCGCGAAGGUACACCCAGCAUGGUCGGAAAUCAUGCUAUUUAGCGCAAAGGUAAAAGGGGCUUUUUACUUGGGGACUGACAAGUCGAGCAGGUACGAAAAAUAGGUCUUAGUGAUCCGGUGGUUCUGUAUGGAAGGGCCAUCGCUCAACGGAUAAAAGGUACUCCGGGGAUAACAGGCUGAUACCGGGCCCCAAAAGUUCAUAUCGACGGCGGUGUUUGGCACCCCGAUGUCGGCUCAUCACAUCCUGGGGCUGGAGCUGGGCCCCAAAGGGGAUGGCUGUUCGCCAUUUAAAGUGGUACGCGAGCUGGGUUCAGAACGUCGUGAGACAGUUCGGUCCCUAUCUGCCGUGGGUGUUGGAAAAUUGAGGAGAGCUGCCCCUAGUACGAGAGGACCGGGGUGGACGAACCUCUGGUGUUUGGGUUGUCAUGCCAAUGGCAUUGCCCAGUAGCUAUGUUCGGAAAGGAUAACCGCUGAAAGCAUCUAAGCGGGAAGCCCCCUCCAAAAUUAGUUUUCCCUGGGAGUUUAACUCCCCUGAAGGGCUGUUCAAGACUAGGACGUUGAUAGGUUGGAUGUGGAAGCGUUGUGAGGCGUUAAGCUAACCAAUACUAAUUGCCCGUGAGACUUGACCA